CCUACGGGAGGCAGCAGUGGGGAAUAUUGCACAAUGGGGGAAACCCUGAUGCAGCGACGCCGCGUGAGUGAAGAAGUAUCUCGGUACGUAAAGCUCUAUCAGCAGGGAAGAAAAUGACGGUACCUGACUAAGAAGCCCCGGCUAACUACGUGCCAGCAGCCGCGGUAAUACGUAGGGGGCAAGCGUUAUCCGGAUUUACUGGGUGUAAAGGGAGCGUAGACGGCAGCACAAGUCUGGAGUGAAAUCCCGGGGCUUAACCCCGGAACUGCUUUGGAAACUGUGAAGCUGGAGUGCAGGAGAGGUAAGCGGAAUUCCUGGUGUAGCGGUGAAAUGCGUAGAUAUCAGGAGGAACACCGGCGGCGAAGGCGGCUUACUGGACUGUAACUGACGUUGAGGCUCGAAGGCGUGGGGAGCAAACAGGAUUAGAUACCCCAGUAGUC
RNAcentral lists this ribosomal RNA (440 nucleotides) under uncultured bacterium. RNAcentral's name for it is "partial 16S ribosomal RNA". It matches the Rfam family "Bacterial small subunit ribosomal RNA", at positions 338 to 795 of the family's 1533-position model. The record is from RNAcentral.